UAGCUCUUCCUCUUGCUCUGCCUCUUUCAGCCGCUUCUCUGAGUUUCACGUGAAAACCUUAUUUUCCAAAAAUGAACUCUUUUUACUUAUUCCAGCUUAUAUAUAUUUUCAAAUAAUUAUUAUUCCAAUAAUAAUAAUAAUUCAAUAAUUCCAAAAUAAUAAUAGUAAUAAUCCAAUUAUCUAAUUAAAUUAAUAAAUAUAUUAUUAACUUAAUUUAAAUAAUUACCAUAUUAUUAUCGGGGUGUUACACUACACAUGUGACUGAUAUAUGCAAAACUUUAUUAUGGCCAUUCCCCUCUAGAGGUAACUCAGCCUCAUUAAAUCCCAAAUAUCUAUUGGCAGUGACAUUAGAAACCAUAUCAUCAAAUUGAUCAACUGUGAUAUCUUACAUCACAUGGGCAAUAUUUAGGACUUUCAAUAGCGCUUUCCGAUGAGCCCCAGAACUCAACAACAAAGACAUGAUUGAAAUCUUCGAUGGGGUAUGACCCAACUGUUCCAUAAUCUUGAAGUCACUAUUCUUUAUCAGCUUAAGGAAUUCCUGACCUUCCCCAGCAGUGAUACUCUUCUUGUGAUAUUCAGUUUGUUCAUGCUCAUUCACUAUUUCUUUACCUUUAGAAGUCUCAGCUUCUGCAGCUUUGUUAGGAGUAGCUUUUGUCAUAGACAGAAUAAUUGUCAUGACUGGAGUAGUAGAAAUAGAUGCCCCUGCCUGUGGAGAAGGAGUGGGAACAACCUUAUCUUUUGGAGGGAUAACUGCAGGUGAUGGGGAUACCCUAGGAAUGUACUUUGGAGAAAAUAACCAACUACUAUGGGUCGUGCCUCCGGUUCCAGCUACGUUGACAAUCUCAACAUCGGAAAAUUGAAUUAUCUUCCCACCCACAUACGCUGUAGUAUCAUAUCUCCAAGGCACUCCCUUGGUGUCUUGAUAUGGGAACGAACCAGGAAGACAAAUGUGAAUAGGAUGGAUCCUCCAAGGAGGAUCUUCAAUCUUCUGCUUUCUGUAGAUAAUCGUUAUCGGCUCAAUAAUAGAGACUUCUUCAACCACUUUUGAUCUGGAAAACUACACACUUCUUUGUUUUAUCAAACUUUGGACACAUUCCUUCAACACAACACACUUAUCAGGAUCUGUAUCACAAACAACACAGUCGUUAUGUAUACCUUCAAGAAAACCAUAGCCCCGAAGCUUAUCUACAACCACUGACAUGAGAGUCUUCACAUUGACAACCCUCUGACUGAUUAUGUACCUUCUUCCUCAAUAACUGCACUGGUUACCGACCCAUUAUGAGUAGGUAGAGGAUUGGUACUCAUGUUAGGCUUUUCCUCAGUGAAAGACAAAAUUUUCUGGUCAAUGAGGUCUUGCACCUUGUUCUUGAAAACAAAACAAACCUUGGUAGAAUGCCCUAUAUAUCCUGCGUAAAACACACAAGAUACAUUGGGAUUAUGCUUUUAAGAGUAGAGGUAAGUAGCGGGUGGGAUCUCUUUAGGAACAAUUUCCCUUACGUGAACCAGGUAGGGGAACAACUAAGUUUAAGGCACAAGUAUUCUGUCAAAUGGAGGAUGCCUUUUAUCGUUAUGAUUACGCCGAUUCUGACUUUGACCUAGGUUACCCUGAGAAGGUUAUUGAUACUACCACAUCUCGAAAAAUACGAUUCCUCGCGAUGGUCGCGGAAAAAAUGAUUCGAACAGAGUCGUCACAGAACUUUAUUUAUUCCAAUGAGGGAAUAGGAAAAUAUUGAUAAAACCUUUAAAAAUAGAAUAAUGGUCGUCGCAACCAUAUUCGGUUUCGGGAGUCGAUUACAUAAAGGGAAGAUAUUAACACCCCUCACAUUCGUUGUACUCAACAAGAACCUUUUAGUCUGAUUUGCGAUUUGAAUGUUAACUAAAUGUUAUUUGUUUUCUUCGAGUGAAUAAAAGAUUGAAAAUAGAAAUGAAUGAAAAGCUCAGAAAGGGGGAAAAGGGAGGUUUUUUAUUAGUGUGCUCACCAAGAUCUCGCAAUCUCGUACCUACGUAUCCUUAUCGUGCAAUAAAGAAAUCAGGGCAUUCAUAGUUCGGGGAACUAUGAUUUGUUGGUGUUUUUUAGUGAACAAUUAUUUAGAUCAUAUUCUAAAGGCUAAACAUUGGCUUGUCUACUUUCGGUGGAGGCUUAAGCACUGGUUUUUUAUGCGCGUUAGAAAGGAUUGAACAAUGUUCUUUCUAAAGAGUUUUUGAUAAGUUGGAUUACUAUAUUGGAAGUUUCAUUUGAAUGACGAUUACUCGGAUAGUCGAGUAAGGCAACUCGUAUCCAAGAAGUCGAGGAGAGGAACAGAAGGCUCUAGAUUAUCUCCCUUUUCAUCCUUAAUUGCAAAAGGAUUUGAUAAUAGUUAAGGCAUUUUAAAUGGAUGAUGAAUACUCAGAUGAUCAAGUAAGACAACUCGUAUCCAAGUAUUCGGGAAAGGGAAUAGAAGGCUCUAGACCAUUUUCCUUUUCAUCUAAGUGAUUAUGAAAAUAAGUUUAUGUAUGGUUGAUGUAUUUUAGAUAAACGAUGAAUACUCGAACAAUAGAGUAAGACAACUCGUAUCCAAGUACUUGAGGAGAGGAAUCGAAAGCUCUAGAGCAUCUCCCUUUUUGUUUAGAUUUUUUACAAAAAAAGGAUUUGAUUUAAUUGUUUUAUAAAUUUUUAGAGAAAUGACAAUUGUUUGAAUAAUCGAGAAAGGGAACUCGUACUCAAUCAAUCAAGGAGAGGAGUUGAAGACUCAAAACCAUCCCCCUUUUCAUUUUUAAAGAAAAUAAUGUUUGAAUAUGAUUAGGUAUUUUAAUUUGAUUUGAAUAAACAUACUCGAUGAUGGAUCGGGGUUUGGAUUUGUAUUUGUGGAUGAAUUAAAGGUAUAAUUAUCUAAUAGAGGUAUGAGGUAACGAAAGGAUUGUGGCUAAACUUAAUCAACCAAAUGCAAGUAAAUGAAUGUAGAUGUGUCAAUCAAAUCUCAUUGUAAGGAAGCCCAAGACUAAGCUAUGUGAGGUUGAUGGCGAUGCUAAAAGUGAUCGACUUAUGAAGGUGUUUUUUGGAAACGACUUGACAUUAAAUCAAGAAUUAGUUUGAAAAUGGUUUAAGUGUGUAGGUGAGAAAUAAAAUCAACAUAUUAUCAUGACAUGGGCAUAUCGUAUGAGAAGUUGCAUUAUCAAAAUAAUCGAUCAAAGAUCACACAAAUGAACCAAAAUAUACAAGAGAAAGAAAAUUAACUAAAUUAAAUAAGAUUGUCUAAUGAAAUUAAUCAAUAAUCUUAAUUAAAUAAAUAUAUUCAAAAUAAUUAACUUUAUGCUAUUUAUAUUUUUUAUGAAUAUAAGAAAAAAAACAUUAUUGGGAUAUAAAAUAAGUAAAGUUAUAUGUAAAAAAAACAACAAAAAAACAACAUGGGUCAAGAAGUGGUAAAAAUGAAAAUGGGGGGGGGGGGGGGGGUAAANGGGGGGGGUGUAAAACCAAGCCCAACGGAUAUAAAGCCCAAUCUCCAGGGAGAGUCCAUUGGACUCUCAGUCAAACAUGUUGACUAAAGAAGAAAACCUUCACCGUCAAAUUUGUAGAUAUGACUUGGUCAAAUGAUCAAAAGGGUGGAAACCAGUGGGCAUGCACAUAUGUUGUAUGGGAUCCACAUGGGAUCCCUUAGUUGACCGCAAGGUCAAAUACGCAUGGCUGAUUCAGGGAAGACCAUUUGGCCUAGAGAGAAUAACCCAAUGCAACAAUGCACAUGUAUAAAUCAGUUAGGCAAAAGGAAAUAGGGUUUCAUUUGAAACUCUCAUUCUCUUUCCUCUUAAAUACUCUUCGUCAUCUCUUUGCAUUUUACUUGACUCCAACCACCUCUCUGCCAGAGAAGAAGGUGGCAGACGGCUGACCACGGCGUCGCCGCCCUCUUCUCCAGCCAACCACCAAAACAAAAUACCUUCUCCACACAAAACAACCUCUUGAGUUCGAAUCUGACUCAGGUUUCCCGACAACCUCCUAAAUCAAUCAAAUCGAGACCCCUGACAAAAACCCAAAUUUUAAAAUAAAAAACCCAAACCCUUACCGUACAAAUCCUAGGUUGAAUUGUCUCCUACACACAAAUCAGAAACCAAAACUCACAAAAAACACAACAGAAAAUUCACAAAUCAAAGUCCUAAUUCAAACCCUAAAACUAUAAACAACAACGAUUUGAUGUAAUUUAUAUGGGGCUCAUGCACAAUUUAUCAAAAUGAACAAGAAGGUGCAAGAAUUUUAAACAAAGAGCAAGAAAAUGUACUUGACCUAAGUUACUCCGGAGAUAUCUUCUCUGGCGAAGUUCAAAUGAGUUCUUCCCUUUUUUCUUUUAUCUUCUCUCUUUAAUGCCUUCCUUCUUCUUCUAUCUCCUUUUCUAUGAACUUUUGACUGCUGUUGAUGUUUCGUUUGGGUGAGGGUUUGGCUCUCCAAAAUUUGAAUUUCAAUGUGAAAUUCAAAGUUGAAAUAAGAUGUUAGUGAGCUUUAGUAAUGGGGUUUUGGAAUGUUUUUACAGUAAUUUUUAAUGCGAUCCCCUUCUCCUCCUUUUUUACUCUAUGUGUCUUGAUCUUAUAAGAAUGUCAGAAUUAUGAUGAAGGGGUGAGGUACGUGUGAAGAAUUGGUUAAGAAAGGCUUGCUCGUGUGGAUUUUUACAUGAAUGAUGAGCUGGUAUCUUCUGCGAAUCAUUCUAUUGGAGAGAGACCUUCUGAAAUCCCUGAUUUUAUGGAUUUGCUUUUGUCAGUGGCAAAUGAGAAAGGUGUUUUCUUUUCUACAUACACUAUGUUGCUUCUACUUUUUUUGAUGCAUUCUCUUUUCCUAUUUUGUUAUCUGUACAUAAUAUCAUUUUUUGUGAUCGCAGCGGUCCCACCAACUUGGGAUGUAUGGAUAGUCCUGACAUGAGUACAUGGAUGUUACUCUCGAUUGGUCAUAUGUUGUUUAAAUGAUUAUGUAUACUGAAUGAAUCGAUGGAAAGGUUUACGCAUAUGCUCACCGAGAGGUAUGUAAUGUUGUAUUCUCACUGAGAGGUAUGUAAUGUUGUAUUCUCAUGUAUGUAUGUGUGAUGAGUUAAAAUUGUGGUUCCCUAACUAUUCUAUCUAACUUUGUUCUAAUUAAUUUUAAUGUACGCAUGGACAUUAGGGAUGAUGGGCCUCUAAUGACCUCAAUUGGAUUUUUAAUUGGGUUACUCAUGCAGUGUCAAAUGUUAGGAACACAUGAUGAUAUGCUUUGUAUUUCUGCUAUUUGAGUUUUCUCUUUUAUGCAACAUGAUUUUUAGUGAUUGAUCACGACAUGGAAAUGGUUGACUCAAAGAUGAAGAAAGAACGAGGUUUUAGGCAUGGCGAGCCAGGAUUGAAUAAAAUGAUUGUUGGACACUAGCAUCUUAAGUUUUUGAGUGCUUAGGUUUUAGGAUUUGAUUUUUUAGCAAAGUUUUCAAAAUGUAAAACCAAGAGGUGACUUGAAAUGUAAAUGAAUUUCUAAGCUUUUAUUUCUAAUACAAAUGUAAACUUGACAAUGUAAAAAUCCAAAUGUAACUCUUUCUUUUUUAUGCUUUUGUAUGCUAUAUGCUAUGAUCAAGUGAUAAAAUAUAAAUUAUUUAACCCAUAA
Molecule: long non-coding RNA, 5581 nt
Filed under: Lathyrus oleraceus (garden pea)
Lineage: Eukaryota; Viridiplantae; Streptophyta; Magnoliopsida; Fabales; Fabaceae
Description: Pisum sativum (pea) long non-coding RNA (PSAT_LNC010367)
Source: RNAcentral